AACUAAUAAGCUUUAAGAAGCAUAUGUUUUGAAAGCAUAAGAUAAAGAAAAUUCUUUAUUAGUUU
This 65-nucleotide transfer RNA is filed under the name Ischnura asiatica. RNAcentral's name for it is "tRNA-Ser". The record is from RNAcentral. Lineage: Eukaryota; Metazoa; Arthropoda; Insecta; Odonata; Coenagrionidae. RNAcentral also lists the same sequence under 1 other name.